This 433-nucleotide ribosomal RNA is filed under the name uncultured bacterium. Its description in RNAcentral is "partial 16S ribosomal RNA". It matches the Rfam family "Bacterial small subunit ribosomal RNA", at positions 29 to 507 of the family's 1533-position model. The record is from RNAcentral.
AACGAACGCUGGCGGCAUGCCUAACACAUGCAAGUCGAACGAGACCUUCGGGUCUAGUGGCGCACGGGUGCGUAACGCGUGGGAACCUGCCCUUAGGUUCGGAAUAACUCCCCGAAAGGGGUGCUAAUACCGGAUAAUGUCUUCGGACCAAAGAUUUAUCGCCCUUGGAUGGGCCCGCGUUGGAUUAGCUAGUUGGUAGGGUAAAAGCCUACCAAGGCGACGAUCCAUAGCUGGUCUGAGAGGAUGAUCAGCCACACUGGGACUGAGACACGGCCCAGACUCCUACGGGAGGCAGCAGUGGGGAAUAGUGGACAAUGGGCGAAAGCCUGAUCCAGCAAGGCCGCGUGAGUGAUGAAGGCCUUAGGGUUGUAAAGCUCUUUUAACCGGGAUGAUAAUGACAGUACCGGGAGAAUAAGCUCCGGCUAACUCCGUG